Helianthus annuus (common sunflower) is the source of this 426-nucleotide long non-coding RNA. RefSeq lists it as uncharacterized. The record is from RefSeq and is a predicted model, not a curated record. The transcript has 2 exons. NCBI's taxonomy places the organism in Eukaryota, Viridiplantae, Streptophyta, Magnoliopsida, Asterales, Asteraceae.
UCGAUGAAAUGCUUGAAAGAAAAAUGAUGUGCAAUUUGGAACAUGAUAGCAUAAAUUGUGAGGACUAAACGAAAGAAUAAAUGUGUUGAUAUAGGCGUGAAGGAAGAAGGUUCAAAUUCCAAGAAAACGGAAGGAUCACAAGACCGAGGUAAAUCCUCGGCUUAGGCGAUUGGACGGCUUGGAACGUGCACACUUGAUUCAUGCCCGCCUUACGCUUCCGUCACAAGUUGUUUUGAUAAGGGUUAAACUUUUGGUCGUAUGUAUUUAAUCUUAUGUAGUAUGUUGAUGUCCGUGUCGUUGGGUCAAACCUAGUAGUUGUAGUCUUGUUACAUAUAAUGUUAAUUUUCGUCCGUCUUUGGAUUUUGUCAAAAAUGUUUGUUGUUGAAGUUUGUUUGUGUAAAACAGGAAAUAGUGGUUUAAAACGAA